GUGAUCAGAUCGAUAAAGUUUCAAAUCAACAUUUAUCAGGUAAAAGUCGGUUAAACUUGAUGUCUCUGUUUCUAUCUCACCAGAUAUUCAUCAGUUAUUGUUGGAUGUGAGGUCUUUUAUCUGAUUUCUAUCAAACACUGCGGUCACAUCUUCUGACAGGCUGCCUCACGGUUUGCUAAUGACGUCGGAAAAAGUAGGCCUGCGCCGGCAUGAAUUUGGGUUGCGGAUUUGCAAGGCAAAGAAGUGUCUGUGGGCUGACUGAUGGAGUGAUUGUGAGCGUAAGCGUCCUCAGGCUGAACAAUCUACUGCCAUUCAGCAGAAAGUCGCCCGCAGUCAUGAGGGAGCGAGUCCUCCGG
Molecule: non-coding RNA, 356 nt
Organism: Xyrichtys novacula (pearly razorfish)
Lineage: Eukaryota; Metazoa; Chordata; Actinopteri; Labriformes; Labridae
Source: the annotation of a GenBank genome assembly